CCGAGCUACUUUCCUCUAUCUUAUCCACAAGCUCCCUCUCCAGCCGCGGGGGCGCAGGACUCACGCAUGGCCUCCCCGCCGCUGCGUCCGCGCUGGUCCUCGAUCCUACGCGCGGGGCUCCCCGACCUUUGAUCCCCUCGCUUCAACGGCGGCGGCACCCUGUCCUUCCAUUGACCGCCCGAUUCCGGCCAACUCCUGCGCCUUCCCCGGGCUGCAGCUCACGGUAACGGAUCCCCUCGCCGCCCCCUACCGAUUCGCCCUGCAGCCGGUCUUCCUCGCCGCCCCGGCGUGCCCCUUGGCCACCGAGGAGAUGAGUUGCGCUGCCCGUGAGCACCUCUCCCGAUUCAUCUCUUUCCUCGCCCACAUGGGCCGCGCGAGUAGGAGCUCGCCGUCGGCCAUGGAUGCGGCCUAGAACUGCUACCGCCCAUGCCCUGCCAUGCGCCGACGGCCAUGGACCAGCCGCACGAGUAGGAGCACGCCACGGCGUGCGCGCAUGGAUGCGGCCGAGAACUGCUGCCGCCCCUGAACUGAAGCCGCGUGAUGCUGCUGCCGCUGGGGCGUGCUGCUGCUCGCCUCUCCAGUCCGCCGGUGCCUCUCACUCGGGUGGUGUCCCGGGCUGACGGUGAGGCACUGCGUGCGUCCGAGCUGCUGCUUGCGUCGCCUCGCGACCGCUGCUGGACCUGAGGGAGCCGCCGCGCGCGUCCAGGGGAGCAUCUGAGCAGCUCGCGUUUGAGCUGACGGCUACGUGCGCAACCUCUGAAUUCAGUGAUGCAAAAUUCUGGAGGCAACUACAUGUAUAUAGUAUUCAUGAAAGCUUUCAUUUGAAAGCUCAUAAGGUCAAUUUUGUUCCUUUUUCAUUUUUGUUCUUUCAUUUGAAAGCUCAUAUGGUCAAUUUUGGAGGCAACUACAUGUAAACAAAUUAUGGCACGCAGCACAAGUUUCUUUGUUUGUAAAUUAAGCAGUCUGGUAGAUUUGGAAAGGAGGAACAUGGUACUGAACUUUUAUAUAUCAGCAUAAGAUGUUUUCCUAUGCCUUGAGGAGUUGCCGAUGGAUAAUAUGCAGAGGCUACCAAGUGGUAGCUCCAAUCUUGCAAUUGAGGUCAGCAAUGGGUGCUUCUCCUGGGACGGCUCACCUGAGAUACCAACACUGAAGGAUCUGAGUUUUCAAGAUCAGCAAGGCAUGCGUGUUGCAGUCUGUGGGAUGAUCGGCUCUAGAAAAUCAAGUUUGCUCUUUUGCAGUCUGUGGGAUGACCGGCUCUCAGUGAGGUGCCAAAGCUAUUAGGUGAUCCCAAGACUUGCGGAACAAUGGCAUAUGCCAGCCAGACAGUAUGGAUGAAGAGCGGCAAAAAUUCAGGACAACAUACUGUUUGACAAGGAAAUGGAGAGUGAGAAGUAUGACAGGGUCCUUGUGUGGUGUUCGCUGAAGAAAGACUUGGAGAUCAAAGUCAUUUGAGAGUGAGGCAGCAAUCUUAGUGGUAGGCAGAAGCAAUGGAUUCAGAUAGCCUGAGCAUUGUAUCAGGGUGCCUUUUCUCGUGAGAUCUAAAGCACUCCCCCGACUUCCGUCCCCGCGAGAUCCGGAGAGGAAGUGCUGGCCUCCAGCCUCCGGCGGGGAAGCUGCUGCCUUCCAUGGCAAAAAAUACAAUUCCUCGCUGACCUCCCCAGUCAAGUCCCCCCUUCACGCUCAACCCCUCCUCUGCGUCGUGCAUCCUCGCCUUCCUCUCCCUAAACACAGACCAAGCCCUCCCCUAAACCCAAUCCCGUGGUACUAUUGCAUCUUGGUUUUGUGAAUACUAUUACAUCAUGAAAAGAAGGGGGACUGAUUAUUGGUUCAAAAUAAUUGGGGAGCAUAGAGAUGUGAGAGAUUGAGGGGUUUGGUUGGGGAUUUGUACCAUAUCAUGUUGAUGUGUAUUCCAUUAUUUAUUCUUUGCUCUGCUUGGGGCAAUUUUGUUGUACAGGGAGCUAUGAUUUGGAUCAAUUAUAUACUUAUAUGUGAUGUUCUUUCAUGCUUUUGAGGCUCCUGUUGAAGAGAUAAUUUUUAGCUAUUUGUACUGAUUAUUGCUACUGGUGUUGAUUGCAUUUAUUGUUGCUACCAUAUGCAGAUUGCCGUGAAUGUAUGAGAGAUUAAUACCAUUAUCCCAUGUGUGCAAUCUUUAAAUGGAUGGCUGAUGCUUGGUGUAUUCUUUUGUGUCAAUCGGAACAAACAAGGAGGGAGGGUCUGGCUCCAGUUCAUUGUAACUCAAUUAACAUAGUUCGACCACUCUGAAAAAGGUGAUGCUCUGUAGUAAGUUCAUUUAUGGUUGUGUGUGUUUCUAUUGAUGUGUUUGCCCUGUCUGUUCAUUGCAUAUUCAGUUGUUCGAAAAAGGGGUGUCAUUUGUGCCAAGUUAAUCAACUAGGGAAAGUAACACUUGAUCACAGGGUAAUAAAGUUAGUAGGUGUAUGUAAAGUUAUGUAGCUUCGUCAAACAGAUGUGAUGUUUUAGUUGUUGGUCAGUUAUAGCUGCUCUCCAAUGACCUUUUGAAUUCAACAUGUCAUCAGUCAAAUAUACAAGGAGGACACAGAACAAAUCAGAAAGAAUGUAGCAAGUUGUUAAAUCUGAUUUGCUGCUUUCAUUUUGUGGAACUCUAUAGCUUGUGAAAUAUUCAUGUGUUAUAUCUUGUACGCCUCUUGUGAUUUUACCAAUGGAGUUGGCUCUAGCUCUUGAAAAGAUGGUGAAUGAGAAGCUUCCCAACCUUCCCACUGUAAGUUUCUUCUUCAUGCCUAUUUACAAGGAAAAUUACUUUAAAAGUAUUUGUGUGUGUGUGUGUUUGGCCCACUGAAUUCCUAAUUAUUUAUCCGAACCAGUACAUGCAAACGUCUCACCAUAUCUAAAACGUUCAUCCCAAAUUUAACAGGUAGCAACAAUGUGAAAAGAUCCUCAGCUGAGCAUCUUCAUUGGGCAAUGGACAUGAGGCGCGAGGGGUGUUAAGAGGAAAUGGACUCUCUGGAGCUUUCUUACAGUGAGGACAGGAUCCCCUCUUGCCCAAGGUUAAAUUCCUCAACUAUCUAGCCCCGUGAUGCCAAUGGUUCCCUUCCAGUCUUCUCUUUAAAAUCUGUCAGCAGCAAGCUCUGUCUAAAUGUAUGGUACUUCUCUAAGGAGAUGUCACAGUAUUUUUAAUUUAAAUACCUGUUAUAGGUCCCUUGAGUGCUUAGCUGAAAUUUGCUGGUUUACUAGCUCUCUGAAAGGGUCAAAUCACUGUAGAGCAACUAUAGCAUGCAACUGCUAUAGUUGUAUAUAUAGUUUGUAUUUAUCACUAAGAUUGGUCAUCAAGAUGUUCUGCAUCAAAGGUGUUGGUAGUGCUACAGUUGAAAAAAUAAGAUGACUUUGUGGUGUUACUACUACCUGAGAAGUAGCAACCUCCCACAAAAGGCAUGCCAUUUUUUCUGUUUGUGUACUAUGUUUUGGGGAGCUAUAACAAAGUCGUUACUAUGGCAGAAAAAGUAGUACAGUAAAGCAUGUACCAGAUAUACUGGGAGAAAAUGCCACGUGAUAAAAGAACGACUUCAAAUGAAUGCAUAUGUCUUGAAAUGAACUUUUUAUCAUGUUGUGAUUGAUUACUGGAACUAUACUUAAUUUGUUAUCUUUUAGGCAGAAUAUAUGAUAUUGACAGGAUUUUUUUAUGUGAUACCGGAAGCAGGUAAAUUUCUUUUGUCAAUUGUCAUACACUAUUCUAACCUCCCGCCUGGCAGUAUCAUCUACAAUGAUGUUUUCACCUAGCUUGAUCUUCUGCAUUGCAUAUACUUCUAGUUUUUUAUAUGUAUCCUGUGUAUACUGAUUGUUUCCCUCUAUUGUGUGUAAGCCGAAUUUUCUAAUCGAUCCUAUUUUGUGUCGCAAUUCGGGGACUUAUUGGAGAUAUCAUCCUAUUGCCUACUAUCAA
Molecule: non-coding RNA, 3913 nt
Organism: Aegilops tauschii subsp. strangulata
Lineage: Eukaryota; Viridiplantae; Streptophyta; Magnoliopsida; Poales; Poaceae
Source: RefSeq, a predicted model, not a curated record